ACCCAGAUACUGAAGAUACUAGA
This 23-nucleotide non-coding RNA is filed under the name Cricetulus griseus (Chinese hamster). Lineage: Eukaryota; Metazoa; Chordata; Mammalia; Rodentia; Cricetidae. The record is from RNAcentral.